This 995-nucleotide long non-coding RNA is filed under the name Carica papaya (papaya). RNAcentral's name for it is "long non-coding RNA (CPAP_LNC012764)". The record is from RNAcentral. Lineage: Eukaryota; Viridiplantae; Streptophyta; Magnoliopsida; Brassicales; Caricaceae.
AGCCAAAAUCCUAAACCUUCUUUGAUGACCCCCUUCUCGUUUUUUGUUUCGCAUUAUUCUUUGACCAUCGUAUUUAUCGUCUCUUUCUGGUAUAUGUUAGCCGAAAAAUAAUCCUAACCAUGAAGGAGAACCAACAGAGCCGCUGCAUUCGGAGACCUCAUCGCUGGUAGGUUUCAGUUUUUUGAUUUUUUUAGCAAACCGAGGUUUUCUAACGUGUUUUUUCGUAGGGAUAUAUAUAAAGCCAACCAAAACUGACCAAAAUUGGCCAAACCGAGGCAAAUUGCUGCCGUGGGCGGUGGAGUCGACGCCGUGCCGAAUCUCUAAAAUUGGUCGAAAAAAGUUUUCAACAUCGAUUUUAAAUUUUUUGGGGUAUUUUUGGAUACAUGACGAGUAUUUUAAUUUUCGCAGAAAAAAUUCAGAAAACUUGGGUUCCGUUAGGAAGUGUAGUAGAUAGUACGACAUUUCAAAAUACCGAAUCGAGUAACAAUCUCUCACCUUAUUACUUGUUAUGAUAAUUUGAGGCUUAAUAAUCAAAUAUCCUAUGUUUUGUGGAAAAAAAUAGAAAAUUCCUAAAAAUAAUUACAGAUCACUAGUGUAGCUGAAAACUGGUUAAUUUACGAUGAUCUUAUAUCGUAUGUGUUGCCUAUUUAUUUUCCUAUACCGCCUACAUUGCUUAUUAAUCCAUCAUGUGAUUAAAAUUAUUAUUUUAAUUGUUUUCUCAUUUAUUGAUUGUUUGAUCGUGAUUUUUACCUGAUUGACUGAUUUGAAAUAAAAGUCACAAUUAAGUUUCUUAAUUGUUGAUGUAUGACAUUGUAUUGUUUACUUAAAUGCUGUUUGAUUGAUCUGUGAAUAUAAAAUAAGAUAUUGGUAUGCGAUUGGUGAUUGUUUUGUUGAUGGAGAUCUAUAUGUGAAAGGCUUAUUGGGUACCUGGGAAAGAGCAGACGAGCUUGGUACAUGAAGAAUCCCUAUUGUAGACAUUAUCUCAGUCGCACAGG